UACGGAGGGUGCGAGCGUUACCCGGAUUUACUGGGUGUAAAGGGCGUGUAGGCGGUCUCUCAAGUCCGAUGCUAAAGACCGAAGCUCAACUUCGGGGGUGCGUUGGGUACUGUGAGGCUAGACGGUCGGAGAGGGUAGCGGAAUUUCCGGAGUAGCGGUGAAAUGCGCAGAUACCGGAAGGAACGCCAAUAGCGAAGGCAGCUACCUGGACGAUUGGUGACGCUGAGGCGCGAAAGCGUGUGGAGCAAACCGG
This 253-nucleotide ribosomal RNA is filed under the name uncultured bacterium. RNAcentral's name for it is "partial 16S ribosomal RNA". It matches the Rfam family "Bacterial small subunit ribosomal RNA", at positions 524 to 776 of the family's 1533-position model. The record is from RNAcentral.